GAACGCUGGCGGUAGGCCUAACACAUGCAAGUCGAACGGCAGCACAGUAAGAGCUUGCUCUUACGGGUGGCGAGUGGCGGACGGGUGAGGAAUACAUCGGAAUCUACUUUUUCGUGGGGGAUAACGUAGGGAAACUUACGCUAAUACCGCAUACGACCUACGGGUGAAAGCAGGGGAUCUUCGGACCUUGCGCGAUUGAAUGAGCCGAUGUCGGAUUAGCUAGUUGGCGGGGUAAAGGCCCACCAAGGCGACGAUCCGUAGCUGGUCUGAGAGGAUGAUCAGCCACACUGGAACUGAGACACGGUCCAGACUCCUACGGGAGGCAGCAGUGGGGAAUAUUGGACAAUGGGCGCAAGCCUGAUCCAGCCAUACCGCGUGGGUGAAGAAGGCCUUCGGGUUGUAAAGCCCUUUUGUUGGGAAAGAAAAGCAGCAGGUUAAUACCCCGCUGUUCUGACGGUACCCAAAGAGUAAGCACCGGCUAACUUCGUG
Molecule: ribosomal RNA, 489 nt
Filed under: uncultured bacterium
Lineage: Bacteria
Description: partial 16S ribosomal RNA
Rfam family: Bacterial small subunit ribosomal RNA
Source: RNAcentral